UACGUAGGAGGCAAGCGUUGUCCGGAAUACUGGGCGUAAAGCGCGUGUAGGUGGUGGGACAAGUCUGCUGUGAAAGCGCCUGGCUUAACCGGGCGAGGUCGGCGGAAACUGUCCGACUCGAGGACGGUAGAGGGGGUGGAAUUCCCGGUGUAGUGGUGAAAUGCAUAGAGAUCGGGAGGAACACCUGUGGCGAAGGCGGCCCCCUGGCCGGCCCUGACACUGAGACGCGGAAGGCGUGGGAGCGAACGGG
Molecule: ribosomal RNA, 250 nt
Filed under: uncultured bacterium
Lineage: Bacteria
Description: partial 16S ribosomal RNA
Rfam family: Bacterial small subunit ribosomal RNA
Source: RNAcentral